This 74-nucleotide transfer RNA is filed under the name Candidatus Nanoarchaeia archaeon. RNAcentral's name for it is "tRNA-Cys". It matches the Rfam family "tRNA". Rfam says of the family: Transfer RNA (tRNA) molecules are approximately 80 nucleotides in length. Their secondary structure includes four short double-helical elements and three loops (D, anti-codon, and T loops). Further hydrogen bonds mediate the characteristic L-shaped molecular structure. tRNAs have two regions of fundamental functional importance: the anti-codon, which is responsible for specific mRNA codon recognition, and the 3' end, to which the tRNAs corresponding amino acid is attached (by aminoacyl-tRNA synthetases). tRNAs cope with the degeneracy of the genetic code in two manners: having more than one tRNA (with a specific anti-codon) for a particular amino acid; and 'wobble' base-pairing, i.e. permitting non-standard base-pairing at the 3rd anti-codon position. The record is from RNAcentral. Lineage: Archaea; Nanobdellati; Nanobdellota; Candidatus Nanoarchaeia.
GCGCACAUAGCCAAACCCGGUAAGGCAAUUGCCUGCAGAGCAAUCAUGUCCAGGUUCAAAUCCUGGUGUGCGCU